Non-coding RNA from Rattus norvegicus (Norway rat), 2246 nucleotides. NCBI's taxonomy places the organism in Eukaryota, Metazoa, Chordata, Mammalia, Rodentia, Muridae. The record is from RefSeq and is a predicted model, not a curated record.
GUGCUUGGGGACCCCACUCUUUCAAAAGAAAGGAAGCUUUUCCCUUUUAUGUGUUCCAGGUCCCCCUGACACCCACAUAUUUGUAUAUCUACCAGCCAGGCUGUUCCUGAGUGAGUCCACCACCCACACAUACACUGUGAAACACGUGCUAUGGUUUGAACGAAACGUCCCCAUAGUUUUAUGGGUUCAAAGCUUGGUUCCUAGCUGGUUGUACUAUUUUGGAAGGUUCUGGAAACUUUCAGAGGUGGGGUUCUGAGGGAGGAAGUAUGUCAUUGAAGAUGGCAUUCUGUCACUUCCUGUUCUGCUCUCUGCUUCCUGUUUGCUAUGGUGUGGACAUUCCCCUACUGCCAUGAUGAUCCAUCUAAGCAUACAGAGUCAAAAGACUACGAACCAGUAAACCAGAGGCCAGAACUGUCAAGCUGUCAGUUUGGGCACAGAUGAGAAAAGUACCCACCAUGCUCAGUCACACCUGGUCAGGUGCAUCUGCCCUUGAGACAGAGGGAACUCAAAGAUGUUGGUACUUCAUGUAUGCAGGUGCACAUGAGUGUCUUAUUGGAGGUGUAGCCUUGUUAGAGGAAGUGUGUCACUGUAGAGGCGGGGCUUUGAGGACUGUGUGUGUGUGUGUGUGUGUGUGUGUGUGUGUGUGUGUGUGUAUGCUUAAGUCUGGCCAGUGUGAUCCAGUCUUCUGUUUGCCUUCAGAUGAAGAUGUAGAACUCUCAGCUCCUUCUCCUGCACCAUGGCUGCCUGGAUGCUACCAUGUUCCCGCCAUGAUGAUGAUGGACAGAACCUCUGAACCUAAGGCCGGAGACUGAAUCCCAGAACCCAGGUGGCAACUCGCAACUGUAUUCUACAGUUCCCGUUUUGGAGGAGGGCCCAGCUUCCUCUUCUGACCUCCUCAGGAAUCAGGAGCUGAGGAGACCAGAAGACAGCAUUGAGCAGGUGCCUUGGAAGUGAAGUUGCAGACAGUUCUGAGCCACCAUACGAGUACGGGAAACCAAGCCCAGGUCCUCUGUGAAAGCAGGCCGAGUUCUUAACUGCUGUCUCUCAGAUCCUAAGGCCUCAUUCUCAACCAGCAAACGCAAACCGAUGAGAAACACCAAGCCCGGGAGAGACAGACACCACGCCCCGCUGGAGACACCACGCCCUGGGGGAGACAGACACCACGCCCCUCUGGACACACCACGCCCCUCUGGACACACCACGUCCCGCUGGCCCACAAGUUCUUCCCUGUCUGUCUCCUGAGAAUAGGAAUACUCUCUCACGUAACCUCAGUACGAUUACGAAAAUUAGGAAAUUUAUUGUUGGACACUACUAUUAUCCAACUCAGAAUUUAUAUUCAAAUUUCAUCAAUUUACAAAAUAACGCCGUUUAUAACUUCGGCCCCGACGACCCAGGCUCCGAUCCAGGAUGAUGCUGCGCCUUCAGCUGUCAUGCCUCGUUAGAUUCUUUAAUCUGAAGUGGCUCCUUAGCCUUUCUGUCUGAUGCUCCUCAAAAUUAAUUCCAGGUGAUGUGGAAUUAGUGCGCCUGAACACGGGCCUGGUUCCGGGUUCUCCUUGCGUCUGUCGAAGGGCACAGGAUUUUCUCUUACCUGGUUGCUAUUCAUUAUGGUGCGAAUGUGCCCCACCCCUCAGGCUCACAUUCUGAAUGUCACCAGCUGGUGGCACUCUUUUGGGAGGUUGUAGAAGCUGUAGGAGGUGGGGUCUGCGUGAAGGAAAGAGGCCCUUGGGGAUGGGUCCUUGAGGCUUGUGCUGGUUUGAAUGUCUCCCCAUAGGCUUAUGUACCCGAACAGUUGGUAAUGCUAUUUGGGGAGGUUAUGGAACCUUUAGAACGUUCAGCCCUGUUGGAGAACGUAUAUCACGAGGGACAGGCUUUUGAUCCUUCUUCACGGUGGCUUUCGCUCUCUGGUCACUGAGUGUGGUUAAGGGUGUGCACCCUCAGAUUCCUGCUGUCCCCCAUUAUAGUUUAUCCUUAAGGACUCAUAAGCCUAAAUGCAUGGUAGAAAAAGUCCGUAGCAAGACAUUAGAAGAUGACAUCAAAGGAGCUUGCAACCACAUAAGAACAACAAUGCCAACCACCCAGAGCUCCCAGGGACUAAAUGACCGUCCGAAGAGUACACAUGGACUGACCCAGGGCUCCAGCUGCAUGUGUAGCAGAGGAUGGCCUUGCUGGGCACCAGUAUCAGGAGAAGCCCUUGGUCCUGCCAAGGCUAGAGCCACCCAGUGUAGGGGAACGUCAGGGCAGGGAGG